CGUCAAAUCAUCAUGCCCCUUAUGUCCCGGGCUACACACGUAAUACAAUGGCGUUUAACAGAGGGAAGCGAAACCGCGAGGUGGAGCAAAUCCCGAAAAGGCGCCUCAGUUCGGAUCGCAGGCUGCAACCCGCCUGCGUGAAGUCGGAAUUGCUAGUAAUCGCGGAUCAGCAUGCCGCGGUGAAUACGUUCCCGGGCCUU
This 200-nucleotide ribosomal RNA is filed under the name uncultured prokaryote. RNAcentral's name for it is "partial 16S ribosomal RNA". It matches the Rfam family "Bacterial small subunit ribosomal RNA", at positions 1183 to 1382 of the family's 1533-position model. The record is from RNAcentral.